Molecule: long non-coding RNA, 223 nt
Filed under: Lathyrus oleraceus (garden pea)
Lineage: Eukaryota; Viridiplantae; Streptophyta; Magnoliopsida; Fabales; Fabaceae
Description: Pisum sativum (pea) long non-coding RNA (PSAT_LNC023773)
Source: RNAcentral
UUUUGCCCUUUCAAGAACCCCACUAUCUCUUCUUUAUUUUGCACUUUCUUUGUAAUAACUCAAUCCACUAUCAUGAUAAUUAGUGGUUGAAACCCUUUUGUUUUCUUAGGAGUUAUUUUUUAUCUUAAGCCAUUCCUAUAUAAAGGAGGCAUGUAUCUUCUUUUUAAAUCAAUGAAUUUUGGCAAGUUUACACAUUGUGUAAGUGAGAGUAUUUGCUCUUAGG